This 75-nucleotide transfer RNA is filed under the name Cronartium ribicola 11-2. RNAcentral's name for it is "tRNA-Ala (AGC) (tRNA-Ala-AGC-13-1)". It matches the Rfam family "tRNA". From Rfam's summary of the family: Transfer RNA (tRNA) molecules are approximately 80 nucleotides in length. Their secondary structure includes four short double-helical elements and three loops (D, anti-codon, and T loops). The record is from RNAcentral. Lineage: Eukaryota; Fungi; Basidiomycota; Pucciniomycetes; Pucciniales; Coleosporiaceae.
GACUGGAUAGCCUAGUGGUCAAAGGAAGCACUUCUAGCAAAGAUGAGGUCCCAGGUUUGAAUCCUGGUCUAGUCA